GAAAUGCGAUAAGUAGUGUGAAUUGCAGAAUUCAGUGAAUCAUCGAAUCUUUGAACGCACAUUGCGCCCCUUGGUAUUCCAUGGGGCAUGCCUGUUCGAGCGUCAUUUGUACCCUCAAGCUCUGCUUGGUGUUGGGUGUUUGUCCCCGUCUCCGCGCGUGGACUCGCCCCAAAGUGAUUGGCAGCCGGUGUACUGGUCCCGGAGCGCAGCACAUGUCGCGCAAACGAGUGCCUUGGUACGGCGGCGUCCAUAAGCCCCUCUCUCACGCUCUUGACCUCGGAUCAGGUAGGGAUAUCCGCUGAACUUAAGC
RNAcentral lists this unclassified non-coding RNA (310 nucleotides) under plant metagenome. RNAcentral describes it as "partial contains 5.8S ribosomal RNA, internal transcribed spacer 2, and large subunit ribosomal RNA". The stretch from base 1 to 105 matches the Rfam family "5.8S ribosomal RNA", at positions 50 to 154 of the family's 154-position model. The record is from RNAcentral.